Molecule: small RNA, 450 nt
Filed under: Pan troglodytes (chimpanzee)
Lineage: Eukaryota; Metazoa; Chordata; Mammalia; Primates; Hominidae
Description: processed transcript
Source: RNAcentral
UUAUGGAGUAUUUUUCUUAGCUACUUGAUAUUAGAUAUUGAUCAGUGGAAUAAAGUUAUUGAACAGCUUGGAACACCAUGUCCUGAAUUCAUGAAGAAACUGCAACCAACAGUAAGGACUUACGUUGAAAACAGACCUAAAUAUGCUGGAUAUAGCUUUGAGAAACUCUUCCCUGAUGUCCUUUUCCCAGCUGACUCAGAACACAACAAACUUAAAGCCAGUCAGGCAAGGGAUUUGUUAUCCAAAAUGCUGGUAAUAGAUGCAUCUAAAAGGAUCUCUGUAGAUGAAGCUCUCCAACACCCGUACAUCAAUGUCUGGUAUGAUCCUUCUGAAGCAGAAGCUGUAAGUUAUUUUCUUAAUGUUUACAGAACAUAUUGCAUUCUUAGAGUUAGAAUGACAAUUAGGUUUGGAGGAGACCUUUUAAUUUUAAAUAAAAAUGUAGAUACAUGA